Molecule: ribosomal RNA, 1233 nt
Filed under: Lentilactobacillus diolivorans
Lineage: Bacteria; Bacillati; Bacillota; Bacilli; Lactobacillales; Lactobacillaceae
Description: bacterial SSU rRNA
Rfam family: Bacterial small subunit ribosomal RNA
Source: RNAcentral
AGUAACACGUGGGUAACCUGCCCUUGAAGUAGAGGAUAACACUUGGAAACAGGUGCUAAUACUGCAUAACAACGAAAACCGCCUGGUUUUCGUUUGAAAGAUGGCUUCGGCUAUCGCUUUAGGAUGGACCCGCGGCGUAUUAGCUAGUUGGUGAGGUAACGGCUCACCAAGGCAAUGAUACGUAGCCGACCUGAGAGGGUAAUCGGCCACAUUGGGACUGAGACACGGCCCAAACUCCUACGGGAGGCAGCAGUAGGGAAUCUUCCACAAUGGACGAAAGUCUGAUGGAGCAACGCCGCGUGAGUGAUGAAGGGUUUCGGCUCGUAAAACUCUGUUGUUGGAGAAGAACGGGUGUCAGAGUAACUGUUGACAUCGUGACGGUAUCCAACCAGAAAGCCACGGCUAACUACGUGCCAGCAGCCGCGGUAAUACGUAGGUGGCAAGCGUUGUCCGGAUUUAUUGGGCGUAAAGCGAGCGCAGGCGGUUUUUUAGGUCUGAUGUGAAAGCCUUCGGCUUAACCGGAGAAGUGCAUCGGAAACCGGGAGACUUGAGUGCAGAAGAGGACAGUGGAACUCCAUGUGUAGCGGUGAAAUGCGUAGAUAUAUGGAAGAACACCAGUGGCGAAGGCGGCUGUCUGGUCUGCAACUGACGCUGAGGCUCGAAAGCAUGGGUAGCGAACAGGAUUAGAUACCCUGGUAGUCCAUGCCGUAAACGAUGAGUGCUAAGUGUUGGAGGGUUUCCGCCCUUCAGUGCUGCAGCUAACGCAUUAAGCACUCCGCCUGGGGAGUACGACCGCAAGGUUGAAACUCAAAGGAAUUGACGGGGGCCCGCACAAGCGGUGGAGCAUGUGGUUUAAUUCGAUGCUACGCGAAGAACCUUACCAGGUCUUGACAUCUUCUGCCAACCUAAGAGAUUAGGCGUUCCCUUCGGGGACAGAAUGACAGGUGGUGCAUGGUUGUCGUCAGCUCGUGUCGUGAGAUGUUGGGUUAAGUCCCGCAACGAGCGCAACCCUUAUUGUUAGUUGCCAGCAUUUAGUUGGGCACUCUAGCAAGACUGCCGGUGACAAACCGGAGGAAGGUGGGGAUGACGUCAAAUCAUCAUGCCCCUUAUGACCUGGGCUACACACGUGCUACAAUGGACGGUACAACGAGUCGCGAAACCGCGAGGUCAAGCUAAUCUCUUAAAGCCGUUCUCAGUUCGGAUUGUAGGCUGCAACUCGCCUACAUGAAGUCG